Molecule: long non-coding RNA, 545 nt
Filed under: Gossypium barbadense (sea-island cotton)
Lineage: Eukaryota; Viridiplantae; Streptophyta; Magnoliopsida; Malvales; Malvaceae
Description: long non-coding RNA (GBAR_LNC008284)
Source: RNAcentral
CAAUCACAUUUAUAUAUAUUCUUCUUUGAUGCUAAUGAUUCACUUCAAAAUCAAUUCACUGAUGUGUAAGUAAUACGUACCUGAACAUCUUAAAUGUCUAGCACUUACUCAACGAUGGUUUACUGCGGACAUUCAAUAUCGUAAUCUUACUUAAUUUAUUGGCAUUAAACCUGUCAGGUCUUAGAACUUGAAACCAAUUACCAGCACAAGCCUGCGGGAAUUUAAACCCGGUAUAAUACCAGCUCGAAGCCCGCGGGACUUUAGCCCGGACAUAUUUCUAGCACGUAGCCUACGGACCUUAAGUCCGGAUAUAAUUCCAGCACAUAGCCUGCGGACCUUAAGUCCGGAUAUAAUUCCAGCACAUAGCCUGCGAACCUUUAAGCCCGGAUAUAUGUCAAAUAUCAUACAUAUAUAAUCAUAUAUUAACACAUCUCAUUCAACAUAUCACAUUAGUAGUCAUUUGCUACAUUCGGAUAUAAGCUCCAUAUGAACACCAUCAUUCAUAUUUCGGUUCAAAAGUCAUACAUAAAUAUCACAUAUCCAUU